RNAcentral lists this long non-coding RNA (577 nucleotides) under Pan troglodytes (chimpanzee). RNAcentral describes it as "lincRNA". The record is from RNAcentral. Lineage: Eukaryota; Metazoa; Chordata; Mammalia; Primates; Hominidae.
GUGCCAGCCAACUGUGGCUGCCUGGGACACUCCAUCUUAAGUCCCUGUGCCUCUGCUGUGUGUUACUGAGUGCCUAGGCCGUGCCAGCCUGUAUUCAUCUGUACUAUGACCUGAAGAGGCAGAGGCCAUCAUUGUUGGUCUGGUCUCCACCUGGGGAAACUGAGGUUGCACAGUUGCGUGGUGGAGUGAGGGCAGGGGCAGGGUCUGGGUCUGGGGGCAGGGCCUGGGUCUGACCCCAGGGACUGGUUUUUGUGUUCAGGUGUCUCUGUGGUGACGAGCAGGGCUUCAUCCAGUGCCUCUGUCCCCACCGAGGGGACUGUGGGAGCCAUGGAGGGUGUGUGAGCAACAGGUGAGACUGGAGCCAGCUGAAAACUGGGAGACCGACCCAGCCAACAAACAAUGUCGGUCUCUGUCCUGGCACCCGCAGGAAACAAGCUCCUACUUCCAGAAAAAGUGCUCCUGGGACUCCAGGAUACCAAGCAUCUGGGUAAGGUACAAUGCUUAACCACUUAACGCAAUCAGGAAGCAACAGCCAUGCAUUCGGGAAAGGAACUUCAGUGUUGUGUGGCUCAGUCUC